AACCCCACACCCCACACAAAAAAAAGCUUCUCUCGAUCCCAUCUGGAUCUCAUCGAAAGAAGAGCUUCGUUGCCGGUGUCGACGCACGGGAGAACUUCCUUGCCGCCUCCGACGUACGAUCUGCCACGAUCUCGUUCGAUCUACCUGCUGCCGAUGUACGAGAUCGCCGACAUCGAGAUACGGGAUCGCCGCCGACGUACGAUCUGCCGUCUCUCGCUGCCGCCGUGGUACGAUCUGCCGUCUCUCGCUGCCGCCGUGGUACGAUCUGCCGUCUCUCCCAGAGGAGGCGCCACCGCGGACGUCCGGGAUCACCGCCGCUGACCUGCCAGAGGAGUCGCCGCCUCCAAUCUCCUAGAGGAGCCGCCGCCGCCGACGACCUUCAAGGGAAGACGCCGCCGCCACCUGCGCUGAACCCCAGGGCAGGGUGCGACGAGCGUCGCAAGGAGUACUUGCCGGCCGUACACAGAGGAGGGCUCCACUGUGGCCAUUGGCCACUCUGCUGCAAGCUCAACGCUACAGUUUGACAGGGCCAAGGUGGUAGUAGACGAUGACGAAUAUGGCGCCCUGGCUGUCUCUGUUCAUGAGAUUCCCCCAUGGUGGCCGAAUUUGUAUCACACCAGGCUGCUCCCUCGUAUUGUAAAUCAGAGCUAGCUUAUAUUCAUCCAUUGGUCAUGGCUGACUCCAAAGGCAACACUCCUCCAGUCCUGUGCGUGAUGGCAAAGCUAUGCUACAUGAUAUUAUCAGCUAUGAGAUUUUAUUUGAAGAACCAUGCAAAGCAAUUUGAGAUGAUGCAUAUAAAGCAUAUUCGAUUUAUUAAGUGUUUUUAAGUAUUCAAUUUAUUAAGAGUUCACUCAUCAUUGCCGACCGUACACAGGUAUUCUGAACCUUACCAUCCGAUUUUCAGAAUAAGAGUUGUUUGUAUAAUUCAUGGUGGUUAAAACAGCAGCAUUUGUAGAAUUCCCCUUUGUCCAUGUUGUACCUACAAUUUACUACUAUAUCUGUAGUGCUACUUCAUUUGAAUUUUGUAACCAAAAGAAAUGCAGGCGAGCGAUUCAAGGUUAUUGUUCGAAGUGGCUAUAAUAUGUGGCUCCAGAGGUGCUGAAGCUGCAAACUUGCCGAGGCCAGCAUAAGGAGUGAUGGAGUUAUCUUCUACUUUUAUUUGUUCAUGUUGUCUCAACAAACUGAUUUGUGUUUAUGGUGACUUUUUUAUCUGUCCAUGGAUCAGAGAGGAUGGAUGAUGCAGUGGCCACAUCAAGCGCCCUGUGCUCGACGACAAUGGAAAUGCAGUUUCUCAGAGCUAGCAGGAAGGAGGCUGAUGGCUUCCCGUUGUAGUAACGCGAUGCAGAAGAGACAACACACCAGCCUACAAGGUGAUUAGCACUCAGCAAACUAUUGGAAAGAUGUUGGUACCUUGUUUUUUUUCAAACUCGACAUGCACAUGCAAGAAUAGGUAUGGCUACAUGCUUUCUAUAUCUAUCAGGUUCAUAAAGCAUUUUGGAGAGGUGCAUCUUGUUGGAGAGGUCUGGUAUGCAUAUUUAAUAUUGAAGAAAACAAAAGUUUUUGAUAUAAUAAAGAUUGAUGAAAAUUUGGACUUGACUCUACCAGGGACAAUUUUCAUGCUAAAUUAUACGAAGUUUGUAUCUUGGGGACAUCUUCAUGCCGACUUACGUUUAAUAUUGGGAUAUGUCCCCUCAUGUGCCAGUUUUGAGAUUUUGUUAGAAGUACAUGAUCUAUUCUUAGUUCCUGCAUGUUUUUUCACCUUUCUGUAGAUUUGAGUAUAACUUAAAGUUCUAGAUGCAUAUAAGCUUGUGAGUUAACAAAAGGUCACUUGAUGGUUCUAACUAAAUUCUGCAAAAAUAUGACCAUCACGGGAUGCCUGCACCAACAACUUUAUAAACUCAACUACGUUUUGCUAGAUGACUCAAAUUUUAGAACGCGGGCAUUAUUUUUUGGGAAUGCAGUUAGCAAUAGAAUCAAGUCAAGCUGAAAACAAGAGAUCGAUUGUUCGAUAUUGAAUUUAAUUCCUUUCUUGCAAAAGCACCUUAUGAGUGAGGAGAUUAUUCAAUAUUGUAUUUUAUUCCUUUCUUCUACCCACUGUUCUAUACUGCAAGCUUGCACCUGAUCAGGUUUCUAACUCAAUUCAUUUUUGUUAGAUCCGUCGAUGAAGAAAACAACACAUUUCACGAUAUGAUGAUUGGUUUGAGUGCAGCUUUCAGAUAACUUUCUUUCCUUGGGAUAGUUGGAAUACUAUGACUAGAUAUACAAUGGCUUGUAAACAACUACAAUGAUAUUACACAUCACUUUCUGUACUACAUUUAUGUGCAUUUGGAUCUCGCCAAGGCUAAGAAAUCUGCGUCGCAGCCCCAACUAAUGCAUCAACUUGGAACCAAGGUCCACCCUCUAAUAAUCAGCAUAUAUGCCGCAUGUCAGCCUCAUGGGGAUCAAACAGAUGAGGAGAAGGAGGCAGCAAGGAAGAAGGUAGAGGAGAUGGACACCUGAUCUGCAAGUUCCUGAAUUUCAACGUUUAUUGCGUGUUGCUGUGUUAAUAUUGGGUGCAGCAAUUCCACAACUCUGGGAAGAGCUUCUGCUGGAGGGCGUCACCUGCGGCAUCACCUGCAUCGACCUCUCGCUGAUUACCAUCCCAAGGAUGCGCGACCGACUGGCGGAGCAGGGCACCAGUGAGAAGUUCACCAAUUUGGUUGACUCACCGUUCCCUUCCUCUGUCCACGCAAUGCCGCUCGUUGUUGUUAGGUCGUUAAUUCAUCAGACCCCUUAUUGCGCUACAUAGUUUGUUCAUCUCGCAUGCCUUUUUAGGAGAAAUCAUGUACCGAAGAUAAGCUAUUCUUUAUUUACAUUUUAUUUAUUUCUUCCUGCUACUUGUACGAUUUGCUUUGGAAAUCUUCUGACUACUUGCAUGAAUUUUAGUUCCUA
Long non-coding RNA from Triticum aestivum (bread wheat), 2931 nucleotides. RefSeq lists it as uncharacterized. The transcript is spliced from 8 exons. Lineage: Eukaryota; Viridiplantae; Streptophyta; Magnoliopsida; Poales; Poaceae. The record is from RefSeq and is a predicted model, not a curated record.